RNAcentral lists this ribosomal RNA (438 nucleotides) under Wolbachia endosymbiont of Aphis gossypii. RNAcentral's name for it is "bacterial SSU rRNA". It matches the Rfam family "Bacterial small subunit ribosomal RNA", at positions 992 to 1428 of the family's 1533-position model. The record is from RNAcentral. Lineage: Bacteria; Pseudomonadati; Pseudomonadota; Alphaproteobacteria; Rickettsiales; Anaplasmataceae.
CAUACCUAUUCGAAGGGAUAGGGUCGGCUCGGCCGGAUUUUACACAAGUGUUGCAUGGCUGUCGUCAGCUCGUGUCGUGAGAUGUUGGGUUAAGUCCCGCAACGAGCGCAACCCUCAUCCUUAGUUGCCAUCAGGUAAUGCUGAGUACUUUAAGGAAACUGCCAGUGAUAAGCUGGAGGAAGGUGGGGUUGAUGUCAAGUCAUCAUGGCCUUUAUGGAGUGGGCUACACACGUGCUACAAUGGUGUCUACAAUGGGUUGCAAGGUGCGCAAGCCUAAGCUAAUCCCUAAAAGACAUCUCAGUUCGGAUUGUACUCUGCAACUCGAGUACAUGAAGUUGGAAUCGCUAGUAAUCGUGGAUCAGCAUGCCACGGUGAAUACGUUCUCGGGUCUUGUACACACUGCCCGUCACGCCAUGGGAAUUGGUUUCACUCGAAGCU